UGAACAUAUGCUCGCGCAUAUGGAGGGAUCGGUUUUAUAACCUUAACGUAGGGAGUGUUGUAGCGAAUACCCCAGUCGCUGCUCUGCAGCUGGUUUUGUGCCAAGUACCCUUUCCAAGCUGAGGUUGGCAUGGAAGGUUACUGGAGUGCCCACAAGACUGUCUGGGAGGUUUGUUCUGGCAUUGUGGCCCAGGGGGAGCACAGACAUCACCUGCCAAUGCUUAGUACUACAGGUACAGGCAUACAGACAAGAAAACACUACGACAACUCAUUGUUUCUGUAAAAGGCGUCAUGAUAUUAGACUGCACCUGUC
RNAcentral lists this long non-coding RNA (312 nucleotides) under Lepisosteus oculatus (spotted gar). RNAcentral describes it as "lncRNA (ENSLOCG00000021347.1)". Lineage: Eukaryota; Metazoa; Chordata; Actinopteri; Semionotiformes; Lepisosteidae. The record is from RNAcentral.